Long non-coding RNA from Paramormyrops kingsleyae, 321 nucleotides. RefSeq lists it as uncharacterized. Lineage: Eukaryota; Metazoa; Chordata; Actinopteri; Osteoglossiformes; Mormyridae. The record is from RefSeq and is a predicted model, not a curated record.
CAUUAAAUGCGUUUUCUAUGAAUUUCAAUGCGAUUAAGGAAAAUUAUCCUAAUUAAUGAGUUCGGUUAAGUCACGUGCACGGGAAACACAGGGCGCGUGAAACUGGACUUAACUAAAGAAUAAGUCCGAGUGCGGCGCAAAUACUUUUUAGUUAAAGAAAGCUUUACUCGCUGCGAAACAUUAGGUCCUUAUUGGGAAAUGAGGAGUCCCACUGACACCAGAUGUUGAUGCCAGAUCCAUGCUGUUUCCUUCAGCUGCCAUGCAGCAGAGUUGACAUCCCCCCCAGACUGUCGGGGGGGUGGGAGGAUGUCCAGACUAGAG